UUAACCUUGAUCAAAAGCAGUAAAUCUAUUGGUUGUGAACCCGCAGUAUAACCUGGAGGAAUUCAGGAAGCUGAUUGGCCGUCAAAACUUCACAUGUUAAAUAGAACCAGGUGUGCUUUGGUGAUGAUUAGUGAGCGGAGGGAUCUCUGUCGGCAAGGUGAAUGUGCUUCUCCUACCCAAGUUGGUGGUGAUACUGAUACUGGAGAAAGAUUGCUAAAGCAUGUAUGGAUGUAACCAUUGAGUUUGGAGUAAACCAAAUGCUGAGACGGCGGUGAAAAGCCACAAUGUGUUCAUCAACUUUAUAGAAGCUACUGGUUAUUAAGCUAAGCAUCUGAGCUAAGCAUCUGAGUGAAGCAUCUGAAUUGAACUCCGAAAAUAAGCAGAGGAAGACCAAGUUGCGGUUGAAAGAUUUUAAUAAAUUGCUUCGAUGAUGAA
Molecule: long non-coding RNA, 435 nt
Organism: Carassius carassius (crucian carp)
Lineage: Eukaryota; Metazoa; Chordata; Actinopteri; Cypriniformes; Cyprinidae
Exons: 2
Source: RefSeq, a predicted model, not a curated record